GACGAACGCUGGCGGCGUGCUUAACACAUGCAAGUCGAACGAUGAAAGCCGGAGCUUGCUCUGGCUGGAUUAGUGGCGAACGGGUGAGUAACACGUGAGCAAUCUGCCCUUGACUCUGGGAUAACUCCGAGAAAUCGGUGCUAAUACCGGAUAUGACCCCUGGCGGCAUCGCUGGGGGUGGAAAGUUUUUCGGUCAAGGAUGAGCUCGCGGCCUAUCAGCUAGUUGGUGAGGUAAUGGCUCACCAAGGCGACGACGGGUAGCCGGCCUGAGAGGGUGACCGGCCACACUGGGACUGGGACACGGCCCAGACUCCUACGGGAGGCAGCAGUGGGGAAUAUUGCACAAUGGGCGCAAGCCUGAUGCAGCAACGCCGCGUGGGGGAUGACGGCCUUCGGGUUGUAAACCUCUUUUAGCAGGGAAGAAGCGAAAGUGACGGUACCUGCAGAAAAAGCACCGGCUAACUACGUGCCAGCCGCCGCGGUAA
RNAcentral lists this ribosomal RNA (485 nucleotides) under uncultured bacterium. Its description in RNAcentral is "partial 16S ribosomal RNA". It matches the Rfam family "Bacterial small subunit ribosomal RNA", at positions 28 to 523 of the family's 1533-position model. The record is from RNAcentral.